Molecule: ribosomal RNA, 2922 nt
Filed under: Klebsiella pneumoniae
Lineage: Bacteria; Pseudomonadati; Pseudomonadota; Gammaproteobacteria; Enterobacterales; Enterobacteriaceae
Description: LSU rRNA
Rfam family: Bacterial large subunit ribosomal RNA
Source: RNAcentral
GGUUAAGCGACUAAGCGUACACGGUGGAUGCCCUGGCAGUCAGAGGCGAUGAAGGACGUGCUAAUCUGCGAAAAGCGUCGGUAAGGUGAUAUGAACCGUUAUAACCGGCGAUGUCCGAAUGGGGAAACCCAGUGCAAUUCGUUGCACUAUCGUUAACUGAAUACAUAGGUUAACGAGGCGAACCGGGGGAACUGAAACAUCUAAGUACCCCGAGGAAAAGAAAUCAACCGAGAUUCCCCCAGUAGCGGCGAGCGAACGGGGAGCAGCCCAGAGUCUGAAUCAGCUUGUGUGUUAGUGGAACGGUCUGGAAAGUCCGACGGUACAGGGUGAUAGUCCCGUACACCAAAAUGCACAGGCUGUGAACUCGAAGAGUAGGGCGGGACACGUGGUAUCCUGUCUGAAUAUGGGGGGACCAUCCUCCAAGGCUAAAUACUCCUGACUGACCGAUAGUGAACCAGUACCGUGAGGGAAAGGCGAAAAGAACCCCGGCGAGGGGAGUGAAAAAGAACCUGAAACCGUGUACGUACAAGCAGUGGGAGCACCUUCGGGUGUGACUGCGUACCUUUUGUAUAAUGGGUCAGCGACUUAUAUUCUGUAGCAAGGUUAACCGUAUAGGGGAGCCGCAGGGAAACCGAGUCUUAACUGGGCGUUAAGUUGCAGGGUAUAGACCCGAAACCCGGUGAUCUAGCCAUGGGCAGGUUGAAGGUUGGGUAACACUAACUGGAGGACCGAACCGACUAAUGUUGAAAAAUUAGCGGAUGACUUGUGGCUGGGGGUGAAAGGCCAAUCAAACCGGGAGAUAGCUGGUUCUCCCCGAAAGCUAUUUAGGUAGCGCCUCGUGAACUCAUCUUCGGGGGUAGAGCACUGUUUCGGCUAGGGGGUCAUCCCGACUUACCAACCCGAUGCAAACUACGAAUACCGAAGAAUGUUAUCACGGGAGACACACGGCGGGUGCUAACGUCCGUCGUGAAGAGGGAAACAACCCAGACCGCCAGCUAAGGUCCCAAAGUCAUGGUUAAGUGGGAAACGAUGUGGGAAGGCACAGACAGCCAGGAUGUUGGCUUAGAAGCAGCCAUCAUUUAAAGAAAGCGUAAUAGCUCACUGGUCGAGUCGGCCUGCGCGGAAGAUGUAACGGGGCUAAACCAUGCACCGAAGCUGCGGCAGCGACACUAUGUGUUGUUGGGUAGGGGAGCGUUCUGUAAGCCUGCGAAGGUGUGCUGUGAGGCAUGCUGGAGGUAUCAGAAGUGCGAAUGCUGACAUAAGUAACGAUAAAGCGGGUGAAAAGCCCGCUCGCCGGAAGACCAAGGGUUCCUGUCCAACGUUAAUCGGGGCAGGGUGAGUCGACCCCUAAGGCGAGGCCGAAAGGCGUAGUCGAUGGGAAACAGGUUAAUAUUCCUGUACUUGGUGUUACUGCGAAGGGGGGACGGAGAAGGCUAUGUUAGCCGGGCGACGGUUGUCCCGGUUUAAGCAUGUAGGCUGGUUAUCCAGGCAAAUCCGGAUAAUCAAGGCUGAGGUGUGAUGACGAGGCACUACGGUGCUGAAGUAACAAAUGCCCUGCUUCCAGGAAAAGCCUCUAAGCAUCAGGUAACAUCAAAUCGUACCCCAAACCGACACAGGUGGUCAGGUAGAGAAUACCAAGGCGCUUGAGAGAACUCGGGUGAAGGAACUAGGCAAAAUGGUGCCGUAACUUCGGGAGAAGGCACGCUGGUGUGUAGGUGAAGUCCCUGCGGAUGGAGCUGAGACCAGUCGAAGAUACCAGCUGGCUGCAACUGUUUAUUAAAAACACAGCACUGUGCAAACACGAAAGUGGACGUAUACGGUGUGACGCCUGCCCGGUGCCGGAAGGUUAAUUGAUGGGGUUAUCCGUAAGGAGAAGCUCUUGAUCGAAGCCCCGGUAAACGGCGGCCGUAACUAUAACGGUCCUAAGGUAGCGAAAUUCCUUGUCGGGUAAGUUCCGACCUGCACGAAUGGCGUAAUGAUGGCCAGGCUGUCUCCACCCGAGACUCAGUGAAAUUGAACUCGCUGUGAAGAUGCAGUGUACCCGCGGCAAGACGGAAAGACCCCGUGAACCUUUACUAUAGCUUGACACUGAACAUUGAGCCUUGAUGUGUAGGAUAGGUGGGAGGCUUUGAAGCGUGGACGCCAGUCUGCGUGGAGCCAACCUUGAAAUACCACCCUUUAAUGUUUGAUGUUCUAACGUUGGCCCCUGACCGGGGUUGCGGACAGUGUCUGGUGGGUAGUUUGACUGGGGCGGUCUCCUCCCAAAGCGUAACGGAGGAGCACGAAGGUUAGCUAAUCCUGGUCGGACAUCAGGAGGUUAGUGCAAUGGCAUAAGCUAGCUUGACUGCGAGCGUGACGGCGCGAGCAGGUGCGAAAGCAGGUCAUAGUGAUCCGGUGGUUCUGAAUGGAAGGGCCAUCGCUCAACGGAUAAAAGGUACUCCGGGGAUAACAGGCUGAUACCGCCCAAGAGUUCAUAUCGACGGCGGUGUUUGGCACCUCGAUGUCGGCUCAUCACAUCCUGGGGCUGAAGUAGGUCCCAAGGGUAUGGCUGUUCGCCAUUUAAAGUGGUACGCGAGCUGGGUUUAGAACGUCGUGAGACAGUUCGGUCCCUAUCUGCCGUGGGCGCUGGAGAAUUGAGGGGGGCUGCUCCUAGUACGAGAGGACCGGAGUGGACGCAUCACUGGUGUUCGGGUUGUCAUGCCAAUGGCACUGCCCGGUAGCUAAAUGCGGAAGAGAUAAGUGCUGAAAGCAUCUAAGCACGAAACUUGCCCCGAGAUGAGUUCUCCCUGAGACUAUAAGUCUCCUGAAGGAACGUUGAAGACGACGACGUUGAUAGGCCGGGUGUGUAAGCGCAGCGAUGCGUUGAGCUAACCGGUACUAAUGAACCGUGAGGCUUAACCUUACAACGCCGAAGAUGUUUUG